UACGGGGGGGGCAAGCGUUGUUCGGAAUUACUGGGCGUAAAGGGCUCGUAGGCGGCCAACUAAGUCAGACGUGAAAUCCCUCGGCUUAACUUGGGAAUUGCGCUCGAAACUACGUGGCUCGAGUGUGGCAGAGGAAGGUGGAAUUCCACGUGUAGCGGUGAAAUGCGUAGAGAUGUGGAGGAACACCGAUGGCGAAGGCAGCCUUCUGGGCCAACACUGACGCUCAUGCACGAAAGCGUGGGGAGCAAACAGG
This 253-nucleotide ribosomal RNA is filed under the name uncultured bacterium. RNAcentral's name for it is "partial 16S ribosomal RNA". It matches the Rfam family "Bacterial small subunit ribosomal RNA", at positions 524 to 776 of the family's 1533-position model. The record is from RNAcentral.